RNAcentral lists this ribosomal RNA (404 nucleotides) under Actinomycetes bacterium. Its description in RNAcentral is "Actinobacteria bacterium partial 16S ribosomal RNA". It matches the Rfam family "Bacterial small subunit ribosomal RNA", at positions 355 to 776 of the family's 1533-position model. Lineage: Bacteria; Bacillati; Actinomycetota; Actinomycetes. The record is from RNAcentral.
UGGGGAAUAUUGGACAAUGGGCGCAAGCCUGAUCCAGCCAUGCCGCGUGAGUGAUGAAGGCCCUAGGGUUGUAAAGCUCUUUCACCGGUGAAGAUAAUGACGGUAACCGGAGAAGAAGCCCCGGCUAACUUCGUGCCAGCAGCCGCGGUAAUACGAAGGGGGCUAGCGUUGUUCGGAUUUACUGGGCGUAAAGCGCACGUAGGCGGACUAUUAAGUCAGGGGUGAAAUCCCGGGGCUCAACCCCGGAACUGCCUUUGAUACUGGUAGUCUUGAGUUCGAGGGAGGUGAGUGGAAUUCCGGGUGUAGAGGUGAAAUUCGUAGAUAUUCGGAGGAACACCAGUGGCGAAGGCAGCUCACUGGCUCGAUACUGACGCUGAGGUGCGAAAGCGUGGGGAGCAAACAGG